This 906-nucleotide transfer RNA is filed under the name uncultured Synechococcus sp. RNAcentral's name for it is "16S-23S ribosomal RNA intergenic spacer". The stretch from base 347 to 419 matches the Rfam family "tRNA". The record is from RNAcentral. Lineage: Bacteria; Bacillati; Cyanobacteriota; Cyanophyceae; Synechococcales; Synechococcaceae.
CAGGGAGACAAAACUGAUUGUGAUGUCUGAGCGCUAUGAGGACGAAAGUCUGAGUAGCACAUUUGUCUUAGGCCACAAUCCUGUCAUCUCGAAGGUCGAUCGGUACCUCAGCUGACAAAUCAGAAAGCAGAGAUUAAAUACAGCAAUGGAUUUAAUUGAAGACUUGUCUGAGGCGUCUUUUCAGUUCCUAAACUUUGUCUAGGUCACACCCCACAGAGAGUGAAUCCCGCGAGGGAGGAGCUCAAUGGAAAGGUAAAACUCCUGGGCCAUUAGCUCAGGUGGUUAGAGCGCACCCCUGAUAAGGGUGAGGUCCCUGGUUCAAGUCCAGGAUGGCCCAUUCGUGUUUGGGGGUUUAGCUCAGUUGGUAGAGCGCCUGCUUUGCAAGCAGGAUGUCAGCGGUUCGAGUCCGCUAACCUCCACUGACCAAACCCUUCACAGCGAAAGCAGGAGGAGGAAACCGAGCCAUGCCAUGGUGUGACGAGACAUGUCCGCUGAUCAAGAAUUCAGCUUCUUUUCAUUUGAGAUGGAAUUGCCAUCCAGUUGAAAAGACGCUGAGCUCUAGCAGCAUGAAUGGAGACUGAAAAGUCUAAAUUUGUGCUCUGAUGUUCAGCUGAACCUUGACAACUGCAUAAGUAAAGUCUGGAAAUGAAAGCAUCUCAUGGAUGCUCGAUUUCUGCUGAUGGGUUUCGAGAGAAGCCUUUGAGGUAUGAAUCGAGAAGUUCUUGAGCAAGAGCCGAGACCCAGCAUUGUUCCUCAAACAUCGCCGAGAUGGGAGGGGUUUGAUUUUGGCAUUCAAACCGUUGAUGACCACGAUGAAGGCAAUGAAGAUUGUCUUUAUUUUGUCAUGAAGAGGUGAAUCCGAGAGAAUCUGCGAUUCAAGGCAGCAAUGCAAUGUUGGGAUACAUU